CAGUCGCCACGGGAAUACGUAGGGUGCGAGCGUUGUCCGGAAUUAUUGGGCGUAAAGAGCUUGUAGGUGGUUUGUCGCGUCUGCUGUGAAAAUCCGAGGCUCAACCUCGGGCUUGCAGUGGGUACGGGCAGACUAGAGUGUGGUAGGGGAGACUGGAAUUCCUGGUGUAGCGGUGGAAUGCGCAGAUAUCAGGAGGAACACCGAUGGCGAAGGCAGGUCUCUGGGCCAUUACUGACACUGAGAAGCGAAAGCAUGGGGAGCGAACAGGAUUAGAGACCCCCGUAGUCCCUGUCUCUUAUAA
This 301-nucleotide ribosomal RNA is filed under the name uncultured bacterium. RNAcentral's name for it is "partial 16S ribosomal RNA". It matches the Rfam family "Bacterial small subunit ribosomal RNA", at positions 509 to 809 of the family's 1533-position model. The record is from RNAcentral.